AAGAGCUCGCCUGAUUUGUUUUAAAAAUAUACUCCCUCCGUUCGGAUCAAGUGUCGUGGUUUUAGUUCACGACACAUGAAUGCAUCCAUUCAUCCAUCCUUCUCAGGAGCUGCUCAUACCUGGCCUCGACCGACCAAACCUCCCGCACGGACGACGCAUCAGACGUCAUCCUACGGCCCCCAGCCCACGCCACAACCGAAUCCAAGCCAAUGGAAUGGCGGUGGCUGGCCGCACCGUAGCAGCGCUGGGUCAGCGAUCCGGCAACGAGAGCUUGGCUGAUUCGGUUUAGGAUUUACUGGUGUGAACUCUAAGCGCGCGCGCGCACAGAGUGAGCGAGUGUGUGAGAGUCUGAGAGAGAGAGAGAGAGAGAUGGGGGGACCGUACCGGAUCCAAAGCAAAACGCAGCCAAGCUGCGAGAAAUCCAUCGACGGCGGCUCAGAUCCCGCGCCGGCCCGACCAAGCCCUCGACCGCAGCGCGCCAUGGGCCCCGCCGCUCGGUCCCCAGCCCGCACGGCCGCAGACGCCUCCCGCAUCCAUCCAUCCUCUUUAAUUACUUGCCAGUCAUUUUUGCCUAUGUGUCAUGAAUGUUACUACUCCCUCUGUUCCAUAAUUCAGUUACUCCCACUAUGACUAGUCUCAGUCUCAGGAGCUGCCCAUACCUGGCCUCGACCGACCAAACAUCCUGGUGUGGACGACUCAUCAGACAACGCCUUACGGGACCCAGCCCACGCCACAACCAAAUCCAAGGCAAUGGAAUGGCAGUGGCUGGCAGCACCGUAGAGACAGGGAACUGACGUGGCAACCACCGGGACGAUGGGUCAGCGAGUCGGCAAUGAGAGCUUGACUGAUUUGUUUUAGGGGUUGAGAGAGAGAGAGGUGAGGAGGAUUCAUACCGAAUCCAAGACAAAAUGCAACUGAACCGAGCAUAUGUAGCGUAGCAAAACAAGGCUCAGUUUUGCAUUUCAUCUUCAAACCCAACACUCACAUCUCUUGCUGCAUAAUCCACCCAUUGCCAUGUAAGAGAACUGCCCUGGUUAUCACUCAUCAGAAUGACCAUCCAAGGCAAAGAACAUCCAACAUUGGCAAUGAAUUUGACAGGCUGCAAGAGAGGCAAGGGUGGGCUCUAAGGCCAACUCCUUUUUUCUGGCACUGUUUAGUCCCACCUCGCCGAGCUGUCUUGAUUGCUCAAGACAUGAUUAUUUCAACCAGUCAUCAUCAUCGGCAUCGCCCCUCCUUUUUUUCCAAAAAGGAGGUUGAACCCCCGAGCAACAUGACCAUGAUAUCCAUACAUAUAUGCAUGCAUACAUCCAUCUAUCCAUCCAUCCUGCUCAGGAGUUGCUCAUACCUGGCCUAGACCGACCAAAACUCCGGCUCCAACGACGCAUCAGACAACACCGUAAGGUUCCCAGCCCAUACGCACAACCGAAUCCAAGGCAAUUGGACGGCGGUGGUAGCGGUGGGGAACUGACGCGGCGGACAUCCGGAAAAUAGGUCAGCAAUCCGGCAACGAGAGCUCGCCUGAUUUGUUUUAAAAAUAUAAUCCGGCAACGACACAUGAAUGCAUCCAUUCAUCCAUCCUUGUCAGGAGCUGCUCAUACCUGGCCUCGACCGACCAAACCUCCCGCAUCAGACAUCAUCCUACGGCUCCCAGCCCACGCCACAACCGAAUCCAAGGCAAUGGAAUGGCGGUGGCUGGCGGCACCGUAGCAGCGCUGGGGAACUGAGGCGGCAACGAGAGCUCGGCUGAUUCGGUUUAGGAUUUACUGGUGUGAACUCUAGGCGCGCGCGCGCACAGAGUGAGCGAGUGUGUGUGAGAGUCUGAGAGAGAGAGAGAGAGAGAGAGAGAGAGAGAGAGAGUGAGAGAGAGAGGGAGAUGGGGGGACCGUACCGGAUCCAAAGCGAAACGCAGCCAAGCUGCGAGAAAUCCAUCGACGGCGGCUCAGAUCCCGCGCCGGCCAGACCAGGCCCUUGACCGGAGCACCGCUCGGUCCCCAGCCCGCACGGCCGCGGACGCCCCCCGCAUCGGCGGCAGCCCCGAGGGGCCUCCAAGCCGAUGCGCGACGGCGCGGCGAGGGGGGCUGGCCCCGAGGAGCGGCGG
RNAcentral lists this long non-coding RNA (2098 nucleotides) under Triticum aestivum (bread wheat). RNAcentral describes it as "long non-coding RNA (TAES_LNC018524)". The record is from RNAcentral. Lineage: Eukaryota; Viridiplantae; Streptophyta; Magnoliopsida; Poales; Poaceae.